AUUGAACGCUGGCGGCAGGCCUAACACAUGCAAGUCGAACGAGUGGCGGAGGGUGAGUAAUGUCCGGGAAACCGCCCGAUGGAGGGGGAUAACUACUGGAAACGGUUGCUAAUACCGCAUACCAUCGGGUUUGCCCCGAUGGGAUUUGCUAGUAGGUGGGGUAACGGCUGACCUAGGCGACGAUCCCUAGCUGGUCUGAGAGGAUGACCAGCCACACUGGAACUGAGACACGGUCCAGACUCCUACGGGAGGCAGCAGUGGGGAAUAUUGCACAAUGGGCGCAAGCCUGAUGCAGCCACGCCGCGUGUAUGAAGAAGGCCUUCGGGUUGUAAAGUACUUUCAGCGGGGAGGCGUUACCCGCAGAAGAAGCACCGGCUAACUCCGUGCCAGCAGCCGCGGUAAUAC
RNAcentral lists this ribosomal RNA (405 nucleotides) under uncultured bacterium. RNAcentral describes it as "partial 16S ribosomal RNA". It matches the Rfam family "Bacterial small subunit ribosomal RNA", at positions 30 to 526 of the family's 1533-position model. The record is from RNAcentral.